This is a long non-coding RNA of Lagopus muta (rock ptarmigan), 1444 nucleotides long. RefSeq lists it as uncharacterized. The record is from RefSeq and is a predicted model, not a curated record. Lineage: Eukaryota; Metazoa; Chordata; Aves; Galliformes; Phasianidae. The transcript has 3 exons.
AAUGACCAAGAGGAAAAAUGAAAGGAGAAUGAUGCACCACUGGUGUGGAGAUUUUUAUUCCACGAGACACAGACAGAAUCUUCUGCUUCCCUAUUUGAGGCACUGUGCUCUUGCUGACCCUUCCUGAGCAGGCAGUUGGACGGGAUCAUUUCCAGAGGUGACUUCCAACCUCAGCAGUUUUGGCGCUGUGCUUGGGAAUGGUUGAGCAUUCUUGUUUUAGUGCCAGGAUGAGCCUUCACAAGGCAUCGGUCUGAAGAUCGAGAUGGUAACAACAGGACCUUUUUUCACACAAAUAUAUGAGUUGCAAAAUCCUUCUCACAUCUGUCUAAUUGAAUACAUAGGAGUAGAGACAGCUGCUCUUCUCAAUCCAAGAAGAGCACUUGUAGUUCAAGCACUUAGCGGAGUGAAUGAAGAGGGGAACAGUGUGAUUAAUAUCCAACUACUGUUAAUUAGCAGCUUCUCUUGUACUCUAUGCCAGAGGGUCUGAUAGUUUAGAUGACUGAUUCCCUACGGUGCCAUGUAAACAUAAGAUGAUUAUCCUUCAUUUUCAAUUUCUUUUUACAAUUGUAUUUUCAGCAAAAGUAGCUUGACAUGCAGCCUCUAAGUUCUUUUAGGUUCUUAGGUGUUUUUUGGGUUGAGAGUUUGGCUCAGCACAAUAGCAGAAUUGAGGCUUUGUGAUUAUUUUAGCACCCAAGUGAGUUUAUAUGAUAAAAAAAAAUAUUGGCACAAACCAAAAUUUAAUAUGCUAUCAUUUUGAUUAGCGUGAACUGGUAUAACCUUCCUGGAAGGAUGGGAAAACAAUCUUUUUCAUUUAUGUCAACAAGUACAGAUUGCUGAUCUAUCUUAUUUGUGUGUUUGUUUUGAUUUGUUUUGUUUCUGAGGGUGAAGGGGGUGCAAUAGAGUGGAGGUUUAUGUCCUUUUCAAAUGACAUUUUAAAUUUCUAAUGGAUUUCCCUCUCUGCUCUCCCCCUCAGAAGUAUCAUCCUAAUAUUAUAUUUGAAAGAUUUGCCAUGAAAUCAGACCAAAUCUGAGUUAGCUUAUAGCGAUCCAUUUUCAUAGCCUAAUGUUACUGGCCACAUUACUGUACUUAAAAAGUUCCAAGAAAUAUGCUGCUUAGGACCUACCCAAUUAUUUGUAUGCAAGUAUUAACUGUGAAGCAGCUCGGCAUUACAUUUAUGCUGGCACAUUUUGCAUCUCUGUUUAAAUAUCUGUGUAAAAAUUGUCUUGCUGAAGGUCAUUAAAAACGUUUUUAACUAAUGCAUAUAUAAACAGACACAUAUAUACAUAUAUUUAUUUUUAUUUAUAUUUCUACUUUUUAAUGUACAGAUAGGGGUUUGAUUUUCUGCUAGAAAUAUGUGGAAUAUUAGGGAUGCAAAUGUAAAACUCCUUGAAGGCAGAAGCAGUUUGCUUCUAUGUUCAAGUUUAUUUCCAUAUUUGCAAGUUGA